ACCCUUUCAGGAUCACACCUGGAGAGUUUCCAGUACUCUACAGGCCUCGGGGACCGGAGGAAGAGUCAAGUAGAGGCAUACUUAUUCCAUUCCUAGCUUGGCCAGUGGCUAGCGAGUGGAAGGCAAUCUGCUAAAAGU
This is a non-coding RNA of Ornithorhynchus anatinus (platypus), 138 nucleotides long. Lineage: Eukaryota; Metazoa; Chordata; Mammalia; Monotremata; Ornithorhynchidae. The record is from Rfam.